GAGCGUUGGAACCACCUGAUCCCAUCCCGAACUCAGAAGUGAAACGAUGCAUCGCCGAUGGUAGUGUGGGGUUUCCCCAUGUGAGAGUAGGUCAUCGUCAAGA
This 103-nucleotide ribosomal RNA is filed under the name Pseudomonas protegens. The record is from RNAcentral. Lineage: Bacteria; Pseudomonadati; Pseudomonadota; Gammaproteobacteria; Pseudomonadales; Pseudomonadaceae.